CGAAUAGUACCGGUACCGAUAUAAUAUAGUGUUUUUUUUGCCUGACACGUCUCCUGCAAUAGUGCAUUUAGGCUGCACCAAAUUUACAAAAAAACGACUUAUCUGGGAGCCUGGGACACCACAACAGACUCAAAGAAUCGAGGACACCAUCAAACAACUGGACAUAUCUGGAACUUCAUCAUACCAAACUAACUUUCAUCCAAUCUGGAAACCGGAGACCAACGAGGAAGAAUAGAACUGCUUUGGGUCUUUCUUUUCACCCUAUCCUUUAACCAUAAAAUACCCCAGUACCCAUGUAGCUUUUGUCAUAAAUUUAAGAAUAAAUAUUUAAUUUAGCACUUAUUUAAUUAUUUAAUUUGUUGUAAUAAAAUUUUAAAAGUAAGCUAUUAUGUAAUAAAAUUAUUCUUUAGUGUCAAUAAAAUGUACAGUUUAUAUCAAAACUUCAAGAUGAAUAAAGAACUUAUUUUAAAUA
This is a long non-coding RNA of Anthonomus grandis grandis, 472 nucleotides long. RefSeq lists it as uncharacterized. The record is from RefSeq and is a predicted model, not a curated record. The transcript is spliced from 2 exons. NCBI's taxonomy places the organism in Eukaryota, Metazoa, Arthropoda, Insecta, Coleoptera, Curculionidae.